GAUGAACGCUGGCGGCGUGCCUAAUACAUGCAAGUAGAACGCUGAAGCUUGGUGCUUGCACCGAGCGGGUGAGUUGCGCACGGGUGAGUAACGCGUAGGUAACCUGCCUGGUAGCGGGGGAUAACUAGUGGAAACGAUAGCUAAUACCGCAUAACAGUAUAUAUUGCAUGAUAUCUGCUUGAAAGGUGCAAAUGCAUCACUACCAGAUGGACCUGCGUUGUAUUAGCUAGUUGGUGAGGUAACGGCUCACCAAGGCGACGAUACAUAGCCGACCUGAGAGGGUGGUCGGCCACACUGGGACUGUGACCCGGCCCAGACUGCUUCGGGAGGCGGCAGUAGGGCAUCGUCGGCAAUGGGGGGAACACUGAGCGAGCAACGCCGCGGGAGGGAAGAGGGUUGUCGGAUCGGAGAGCACUGUUGUCAGGGAAGAACGAGUGUGAGAGUGGAAAGUUCACACUGUGACGGUAUCUGACCAGAAAGGAACGGCUAACUACGUG
This 497-nucleotide ribosomal RNA is filed under the name uncultured bacterium. Its description in RNAcentral is "partial 16S ribosomal RNA". It matches the Rfam family "Bacterial small subunit ribosomal RNA", at positions 28 to 507 of the family's 1533-position model. The record is from RNAcentral.